GCGAAAACUUUACAAUGCUGGCAACAGCGAUAAGGGAACCUCGAGUGCCAGGUUACAAAUCUGGCUGUCGAGAUGCCUAAAAAGCAUUUCAUAGCAAGGGCCGGGCAAGACCGGUGCCAGCCGCCGCGGUAACACCGGCGGCUCGAGUGGUAACCGUUAUUAUUGGGUCUAAAGGGUCUGUAGCCGGCCGGAUAAGUCUCUUGAGAAAUCUGGCAGCUUAACUGUCAGGCUUUCAGGAGAUACUGUCUGGCUCGAGGCCGGGAGAGGUGAGAGGUACUUCAGGGGUAGGGGUGAAAUCUUGUAAUCCUUGAAGGACCACCAGCGGCGCAGGCGGCUCACUAGACAGUUUCUGACGCUAAGAUACGAAAGCGUGGGGAGCAAACA
This 384-nucleotide ribosomal RNA is filed under the name uncultured prokaryote. RNAcentral describes it as "bacterial SSU rRNA". It matches the Rfam family "Archaeal small subunit ribosomal RNA", at positions 341 to 725 of the family's 1478-position model. The record is from RNAcentral.